This 70-nucleotide transfer RNA is filed under the name Odontotermes sp. C TB-2017. RNAcentral describes it as "tRNA-Gln". It matches the Rfam family "tRNA". Rfam says of the family: Transfer RNA (tRNA) molecules are approximately 80 nucleotides in length. Lineage: Eukaryota; Metazoa; Arthropoda; Insecta; Blattodea; Termitidae. The record is from RNAcentral.
UACAUCUUGGUGUAUGGUGCACGUUAGCUUUUGAUGCUCGGUGGUGACGGUUCAAUCCCGUCUGGUGUAA